Molecule: ribosomal RNA, 425 nt
Filed under: uncultured bacterium
Lineage: Bacteria
Description: bacterial SSU rRNA
Rfam family: Bacterial small subunit ribosomal RNA
Source: RNAcentral
GAAUAUUGGACAAUGGGGGAAACCCUGAUCCAGCCAUGCCGCGUGUGUGAAGAAGGUCUUCGGAUUGUAAAGCACUUUAAGUUGGGAGGAAGGGUAGUAACUUAAUACGUUGCUAUUUUGACGUUACCGACAGAAUACGCACCGGCUAACUCUGUGCCAGCAGCCGCGGUAAUACAGAGGGUGCAAGCGUUAAUCGGAAUUACUGGGCGUAAAGCGCGCGUAGGUGGUUUGUUAAGUUGGAUGUGAAAGCCCCGGGCUCAACCUGGGAACUGCAUCCAAAACUGGCAAGCUAGAGUACAGUAGAGGGUGGUGGAAUUUCCUGUGUAGCGGUGAAAUGCGUAGAUAUAGGAAGGAACACCAGUGGCGAAGGCGACCACCUGGACUGAUACUGACACUGAGGUGCGAAAGCGUGGGGAGCAAACAGG